This 499-nucleotide ribosomal RNA is filed under the name Bradyrhizobium sp. Its description in RNAcentral is "bacterial SSU rRNA". It matches the Rfam family "Bacterial small subunit ribosomal RNA", at positions 903 to 1400 of the family's 1533-position model. The record is from RNAcentral. Lineage: Bacteria; Pseudomonadati; Pseudomonadota; Alphaproteobacteria; Hyphomicrobiales; Nitrobacteraceae.
AAGGAAUGGACGGGGGCCCGCACAAGCGGUGGAGCAUGUGGUUUAAUUGGACGCAACGCGCAGAACCUUACCAGCCCUUGACAUCCCGGUCGCGGAUUCCAGAGACGGAAUCCUUCAGUUCGGCUGGACCGGAGACAGGUGCUGCAUGGCUGUCGUCAGCUCGUGUCGUGGGAUGUUGGGUUAAGUCCCGCAACGAGCGCAACCCCCGUCCUUAGUUGCUACCAUUUAGUUGAGCACUCUAAGGAGACUGCCGGUGAUAAGCCGCGAGGAAGGUGGGGAUGACGUCAAGUCCUCAUGGCCCUUACGGGCUGGGCUACACACGUGCUACAAUGGCGGUGACAAUGGGACGCUAAGGGGCAACCCUUCGCAAAUCUCAAAAAGCCGUCUCAGUUCGGAUUGGGCUCUGCAACUCGAGCCCAUGAAGUUGGAAUCGCUAGUAAUCGUGGAUCAGCACGCCACGGUGAAUACGUUCCCGGGCCUUGUACACACCGCCCGUCAC